GCAGUCGAGCGCGAAUAGGGAAACCUUAGUAGAGCGGCGCACGGGUGCGUAACACGUGGAUAAUCUGCCUGGAUGCCUGGGAUAACCAGUCGAAAGAUUGGCUAAUACCGGAUAAGCCCACGGUUUCUUCGGAGACUGAGGGAAAAGGUGGCCUCUGUAUACAAGCUAUCACAACCAGAUGAGUCCGCGGCCCAUCAGCUAGUUGGCGGGGUAAUGGCCCACCAAGGCGACGACGGGUAGCUGGUCUGAGAGGACGAUCAGCCACACUGGAACUGAGACACGGUCCAGACUCCUACGGGAGGCAGCAGUGGGGAAUUUUGCGCAAUGGGCGAAAGCCUGACGCAGCAACGCCGCGUGUGUGAUGAAGGUCUUCGGAUUGUAAAGCACUUUCGACCGGGACGAAAACCCGGAGCCUAACACGCUCCGGCUUGACGGUACCGGGAGAAGAAGCACCGGCUAACUCUGUGCCAGCAGCCGCGGUAAUACAGAGGGUGCAAGCGUUGUUCGGAAUUAUUGGGCGUAAAGCGCGUGUAGGCGGCGUGACAAGUCGGGUGUGAAAGCCCUCAGCUCAACUGAGGAAGUGCGCCCGAAACUGUCGUG
Molecule: ribosomal RNA, 600 nt
Filed under: Myxococcus sp.
Lineage: Bacteria; Pseudomonadati; Myxococcota; Myxococcia; Myxococcales; Myxococcaceae
Description: bacterial SSU rRNA
Rfam family: Bacterial small subunit ribosomal RNA
Source: RNAcentral